RNAcentral lists this ribosomal RNA (159 nucleotides) under Memnoniella sp. RNAcentral's name for it is "partial large subunit ribosomal RNA". It matches the Rfam family "Eukaryotic large subunit ribosomal RNA", at positions 99 to 261 of the family's 3401-position model. The record is from RNAcentral. Lineage: Eukaryota; Fungi; Ascomycota; Sordariomycetes; Hypocreales; Stachybotryaceae.
CGGCAACAGCUCAAAUUUGAAAUCUGGCCCCAGGCCCGAGUUGUAAUUUGCAGAGGAUGCUUUUGGCGCGGUGCCUUCCGAGUUCCCUGGAACGGGACGCCAUAGAGGGUGAGAGUCCCGUCUUGGACCGCGGUAGGGCUCGUGUAAAACUCCUUCGAC